AAAUGAAUUGACGGGGACCCGCACAAGCGGUGGAGCAUGCUCUUUAAUUGGCUGAUAACCCAAAAACCUUACCAGGGCUUGACAUGCAUAAAGUAGUGAACCGAAAGGGGAACGACCGGUAUCCAGUCCGGAGUUUGCACAGGUGUUGCAUGGCUGUCGUCAGUUCGUACCGUGAGGCGUACCCUUAAGUGGGUUAACGAACGCAACCCCUACUAUCAGUUGUAUCACUCUGAUGGAACUGCCUCGGCAACGAGGAGGAAGGUGGGGACGACGUCAAGUCGGUAUUGCUCUUACGCUCUGGGCUAGAAGCAUGCUACAAUGGGGUCGACAACGCGAAGCGAAGAGGCGACUCGGAGCAAAUCGCUAAACGAUCUCUCAGUUCGGAUUGGAGUCUGCAACUCGACUCCAUGAAGUUGGAAUCGCUAGUAAUCGGCGGUCAUCUAUACGCCGGUGAAUACGUUCUCGGGUCUUGCACACACCGCCCGU
This 486-nucleotide ribosomal RNA is filed under the name uncultured bacterium. RNAcentral's name for it is "bacterial SSU rRNA". It matches the Rfam family "Bacterial small subunit ribosomal RNA", at positions 903 to 1397 of the family's 1533-position model. The record is from RNAcentral.